This 494-nucleotide ribosomal RNA is filed under the name uncultured bacterium. Its description in RNAcentral is "partial 16S ribosomal RNA". It matches the Rfam family "Bacterial small subunit ribosomal RNA", at positions 28 to 507 of the family's 1533-position model. The record is from RNAcentral.
GACGAACGCUGGCGGCGUGCUUAACACAUGCAAGUCGAACGGUGAAGCGCCUUCCUUUUUGGUGGGUGUGGAUGAGUGGCGAACGGGUGAGUAACACGUGAGUAACCAGCCCCCUUCUUCUGGAUAACCGCAUGAAAGUGUGGCUAAUACGGGAUAUUCUGGGUCUGUCGCAUGAUGGGUCUGGGAAAGAUAUUGUUUCGGUGGGGGAUGGGCUCGCGGCCUAUCAGCUUGUUGGUGGGGUGAUGGCCUACCAAGGCGGUGACGGGUAGCCGGCCUGAGAGGGUGGACGGUCACACUGGGACUGAGACACGGCCCAGACUCCUACGGGAGGCAGCAGUGGGGAAUAUUGCACAAUGGGCGCAAGCCUGAUGCAGCGACGCCGCGUGAGGGAUGGAGGCCUUCGGGUUGUGAACCUCUUUCGCCAGUGAAGCAGGCCUGCCUCGUUUGUGGGUGGGUUGACGGUAGCUGGAUAAGAAGCGCCGGCUAACUACGUG